RNAcentral lists this ribosomal RNA (419 nucleotides) under uncultured bacterium. Its description in RNAcentral is "bacterial SSU rRNA". It matches the Rfam family "Bacterial small subunit ribosomal RNA", at positions 54 to 476 of the family's 1533-position model. The record is from RNAcentral.
CAUGCAAGUCGAGCGGGCACCGUAGGGUGCCAGCGGCGAACGGGUGAGUAACACGUAAGUAACCUACCCAUUGGACGAGGAUAACUACUGGAAACGGUAGCUAAUACUGGAUAGGUACUGCAACCGGAGGGGGGCAGUAUGAAAGGCCCAUGAAGGGCCGCCAAUGGAUGGGCUUGCGUCGCAUUAGCUAGUUGGUGAGGUAAGGGCUCACCAAGGCGAUGAUGCGUAGCCGACCUGAGAGGGUGACCGGCCACACUGGGACUGAGAGACGGCCCAGACUCCUACGGGAGGCAGCAGUAGGGAAUCUUCGGCAAUGGACGGAAGUCUGACCGAGCGAUGCCGCGUGAGCGAAGAAGGUCUUCGGAUCGUAAAGCUCUGUUAUGAGGGAAGAAGGACGUAGGCAGGCAAUGGCCUACGGG